AUGCAGACCAGAAUGCGAAGCAACCUGGAGGCCAUUGGGAUGUUAAAUCAACAAUUAAACACCCUCAGCCAGGAAAAUGAGCAGCUGCGUAGGCAGCUGGAUGAAGAAAGGUGCAUGCGCAGACAAAUGGAGCGGCUUCUCCCUCCCACCUCCCAGCACUGCUCCACCCACCUCCCCGUCUCCCCCGGUGCCCACCCACCGCCUGAGUGCGCCUCCCUCCCUCCGCUCCCUCACCUGCCUCACCCACUGAGCUCGACUUGGGUGACGGGGGACACGAGCUCGGCCGAGUGGAGCUGACGUCGACCGGGUGAGUCCCAGCGUUUGGACGACGGCGCCUCUUUGCUCCUCUGGAAGACAUUUGGUCUGGGAGGACAAGCAGGGAUCUGACCAAAUGAAGCCCACUGAAGACUUUGACCUGUCGCGACCUUUUGACCUCCAGCUCCUCGCUAGGGAGAUUCCGCGGUAUGAGGUUAAUGUCCUGCAGGUCAAAGUCAAUGCUCAGCACCUGAGGGGAGCACCAAAAGCAGUGAAUACUGCAAUUUAGCUUAAAAAAUAUCUUUACGACUGCAGCACGGAGAUGUUUGUUCUGCCAUGAAGGCAAAGCAGAAGGAAGCAAAACAUCACUGAAAAAUAAAUAUUUUUAAAUGUACUAAGCA
Molecule: long non-coding RNA, 656 nt
Filed under: Betta splendens (Siamese fighting fish)
Lineage: Eukaryota; Metazoa; Chordata; Actinopteri; Anabantiformes; Osphronemidae
Description: lncRNA (ENSBSLG00000012875.1)
Source: RNAcentral